GGCUGUAGCUCAGUUGGGAGAGCACCUGGUUUUGCAACCAGGAGGUCACCGGUUCGAACCCGGUCAGCUCCACCC
Molecule: transfer RNA, 75 nt
Filed under: uncultured Gammaproteobacteria bacterium
Lineage: Bacteria; Pseudomonadati; Pseudomonadota; Gammaproteobacteria
Description: tRNA-Ala
Rfam family: tRNA
About the family: Transfer RNA (tRNA) molecules are approximately 80 nucleotides in length. Their secondary structure includes four short double-helical elements and three loops (D, anti-codon, and T loops). Further hydrogen bonds mediate the characteristic L-shaped molecular structure. tRNAs have two regions of fundamental functional importance: the anti-codon, which is responsible for specific mRNA codon recognition, and the 3' end, to which the tRNAs corresponding amino acid is attached (by aminoacyl-tRNA synthetases). tRNAs cope with the degeneracy of the genetic code in two manners: having more than one tRNA (with a specific anti-codon) for a particular amino acid; and 'wobble' base-pairing, i.e. permitting non-standard base-pairing at the 3rd anti-codon position.
Source: RNAcentral